This is a non-coding RNA of Heterocephalus glaber (naked mole-rat), 1302 nucleotides long. Lineage: Eukaryota; Metazoa; Chordata; Mammalia; Rodentia; Bathyergidae. The record is from RefSeq and is a predicted model, not a curated record.
AGAGAAAAGAAGUGGAGAAUGAAGGCUGAAGACAGAGGAAAAGGAAGAAAAAUAUUCUAGUGUGAAAUUCUGGAGCAAGAGGGCCUGUGAUAAGGUGAACAGUGCCCCACUGAGAUUAUGCUCUUGGCUUCUCUUCCUCUGUGGACUGCUCCCUGGGAGGGAAGACCUCAUUAGGUGAAUUUGGAAGGGAAACUGUGACCCAGUCCCCUCUCAUUCCCCUUCCUCUUGGAGUGAACCCAUGCAUGGAAAACACACGCUCUGUCCUGUUCUUAGAGGUCCUGAAGUUUUCAGAGACAGAAUCUGUCUUGCAGGAGAGGCUGCUCCAGUCCAGCCUGUGGACAACUCUUCUGGAUGGUUAAUUUUUCUGGGAUUUACCAGUAGAAAUCCCAUUUAUCCAAUCUUAAUUAAAGUACAUUCACUAUGUUUAACAGUAAAAAUGUAAUAUUUUGUUCUCCAUCUGCCUUAUUCUCCUCAUUUACUUCUAGCCUCACUGUCAGCUCUCUCCUUAGAAGAGUGAGGCUGAGAUGAAGGUUGUGUGUGUGCCUGUGACCUCACAUGUGUACUUGUGACUUGUGUGUAGUUGAGUCAAGAAUGAACAGGAAGGAGGCCCGGAGAGUGAGGUGGGCUUGGGGAGUCUGGUGAAGAUCUUGGAUGAAGAGGGUCACUGUGCACGUGCACUGACUCUGUGCAGGAGGAGUGGGGCAGCCAAGGAAGGACUGGCUUGGCUGAGAUACAGAGGCAGGUUAUGCUGAUGUGGUGGAAGAGUGCUGAUCGAGGACUGACUUGCCACUGCUGUUUCCGCUUAUCCUUCAGCAAAGCCCACACUACUUUGAGGGAUUUUGUCUCAUCUGAUUAGAUCCUUUCCAGGCUGGGGAAAAAAGUCUGAGGCCUUGGUGACAGGGCCAGCUGUAAGCUCAAGGAAGAAGACCCCUACACUCAGAAGGAUUUUGAAAUCAAGCCCUGGUUGGCAUCCCAUUUUGGUUUGUUCUUGGAAGACAGAAGCAAACCAAAGGUUGGAUGGCCAGAAGAACUUUGGCUGAGUUUUCCCAUUUCUUUAAUGAGACAAGGCUGCAGGAAUGAAGAGGAAACUUGGGCAAAGGUGAGGUCUUUGCGGUACAUUGUAGACCCUAAUGGAACACCAAAGGAGACAGAGUGACAUGUUGGCAAAGAGCUAUAGUCAGACUGAAUGGAACUGAAUCUACUGGAUCUAUCUUCAUUUAAAAUUUUGAUAUUUUGUUCAUCAUGGAUUUUUGAAUUUGUUUUGAUUUUUCAACAAAUGCAUUAAAAUAUUUUUUCUCUUGA